UGCAGUCGAGCGCGAACGUUCCUUCGGGAACAAGUAGAGCGGCGGACGGGUGAGUAACGCGUGGGAAAUUGCCCAGUAGUGGGGGACAACAUUCGGAAACGGAUGCUAAUACCGCAUACGCCCUACGGGGGAAAGCAGGGGAUCUUCGGACCUUGCGCUAUUGGAUAUGCCCGCGUCGGAUUAGCUAGUUGGUGAGGUAAUGGCUCACCAAGGCAACGAUCCGUAGCUGGUCUGAGAGGAUGAUCAGCCACACUGGGACUGAGACACGGCCCAGACUCCUACGGGAGGCAGCAGUGGGGAAUAUUGGACAAUGGGCGCAAGCCUGAUCCAGCCAUGCCGCGUGUGUGAAGAAGGCCCUAGGGUUGUAAAGCACUUUCAGUAGGGAGGAAGGCCUUAAAGUUAAUACCUUUGAGGAUUGACGUUACCUACAGAAGAAGCACCGGCUAACUCCGUGCCAGCAGCCGCGGUAAUACGGAGGGUGCGAGCGUUAAUCGGAAUUACUGGGCGUAAAGCGCGCGUAGGCGGUUAGUUAAGCUGGAUGUGAAAGCCCCGGGCUCAACCUGGGAACUGCAUUCAGAACUGGCUGGCUAGAGUACGAGAGAGGGUAGUGGAAUUUCCUGUGUAGCGGUGAAAUGCGUAGAUAUA
Molecule: ribosomal RNA, 645 nt
Filed under: Alteromonadaceae bacterium GUDS1114
Lineage: Bacteria; Pseudomonadati; Pseudomonadota; Gammaproteobacteria; Alteromonadales; Alteromonadaceae
Also listed under: 1 other name
Description: bacterial SSU rRNA
Rfam family: Bacterial small subunit ribosomal RNA
Source: RNAcentral